UUGAAGUUAUAAGGAGAUAGUUAUGGUUGUUUGAAAUUAAGGUGUGAUUUUGGAUACCUAUUGCUACUCUUUUGAGCAUAUAGAGAGUUGUAGGAAAGCUUUGAAGAAUCAAAAAAUGAAGUUUGAAACCUAACUUAAAGAGCUAAAUUUUAUGUAAAAACAUCAAUAUAUUUUAGUCUAAAAAAAAGGAGAGAGAUAUUGGAAGUUAAUAUUCAAAACUAGGAUUUGUAAGUGAGUUGUUUUUAAU
This 247-nucleotide long non-coding RNA is filed under the name Physcomitrium patens. Its description in RNAcentral is "long non-coding RNA (PPAT_LNC006851)". Lineage: Eukaryota; Viridiplantae; Streptophyta; Bryopsida; Funariales; Funariaceae. The record is from RNAcentral.